This 201-nucleotide long non-coding RNA is filed under the name Gossypium barbadense (sea-island cotton). Its description in RNAcentral is "long non-coding RNA (GBAR_LNC017010)". The record is from RNAcentral. Lineage: Eukaryota; Viridiplantae; Streptophyta; Magnoliopsida; Malvales; Malvaceae.
AUACUUUAUGAAUAAAUUGUUUAGUUCAACUAGUUAUAUUGCAUAAUAGGAUAAAGGUAGUUGAAUUUUUUUUAUUUAACCCAAAUGAUCAAUAAGAAUGAAUAUAGAUGUAUACAUGCAUGUUUUAGAAAUUUCCAUUAUUUAUGGAAAUAAGUAGAAACUUGUUUCGAUUUUGUAUUCGUUGAAAUGCUGAGGGAUGAC